UUGAACGCUGGCGGCAUGAUUUACACAUGCAAGUCGAACGGUAACAGGCCGCAAGGUGCUGACGAGUGGCGAACGGGUGAGUAAUGCAUCGGAACGUGCCCAGUCGUGGGGGAUAACUACUCGAAAGAGUAGCUAGUACCGCAUACGAUCUAUGGAUGAAAGCGGGGGACCGUAAGGCCUCGCGCGAUUGGAGCGGCCGAUGUCAGAUUAGGUAGUUGGUGGGGUAAAGGCUCACCAAGCCAACGAUCUGUAGCUGGUCUGAGAGGACGACCAGCCACACUGGGACUGAGACACGGCCCAGACUCCUACGGGAGGCAGCAGUGGGGAAUUUUGGACAAUGGGCGCAAGCCUGAUCCAGCAAUGCCGCGUGCAGGAAGAAGGCCUUCGGGUUGUAAACUGCUUUUGUACGGAACGAAACGGCUCCGGUUAAUACCCGGGGCUAAUGACGGUACCGUAAGAAUAAGCACCGGCUAACUACGUG
RNAcentral lists this ribosomal RNA (481 nucleotides) under uncultured bacterium. RNAcentral describes it as "partial 16S ribosomal RNA". It matches the Rfam family "Bacterial small subunit ribosomal RNA", at positions 30 to 507 of the family's 1533-position model. The record is from RNAcentral.